Molecule: ribozyme, 78 nt
Filed under: uncultured Dysosmobacter sp.
Lineage: Bacteria; Bacillati; Bacillota; Clostridia; Eubacteriales; Oscillospiraceae
Description: Twister_sister_ribozyme
Rfam family: Twister_sister_ribozyme
Source: RNAcentral
CAACCCGCAAGGCCGACGGCAUCCGCCGCCGCUGGUGCAAGUCCAGCCGCCCUACCAGGGCGGGCGCUCAUGGGUCAC